This 347-nucleotide ribosomal RNA is filed under the name uncultured bacterium. RNAcentral's name for it is "partial 16S ribosomal RNA". It matches the Rfam family "Bacterial small subunit ribosomal RNA", at positions 338 to 682 of the family's 1533-position model. The record is from RNAcentral.
CCUACGGGGGGCAGCAGUGAGGAAUAUUGGUCAAUGGGCGCGAGCCUGAACCAGCCAAGUAGCGGGAAGGAUGACGGCCCUACGGGUUGUAAACUUCGUUUAUAAAGGAAUAAAGUGAGGCACGUGGGCCUUUUUGGAUGUACGUUAUGAAUAAGGAUCGGCUAACGCCGUGCCAGCAGCCGCGGUAAUACGGAGGAUCCGAGCGUUAUCCGGAUUUAUUGGGUUUAAAGGGAGCGUAGAUGGGUUGUUACGUCAGUUGUGAAAGUUUGCGGCUCAACCGUUAAAUUGCACUUGAUACUGGCAGCCUUUCGUCCAGUUGCUGUAUGCGGAAUUCGUGGUGUCGCGGU